CAGCCGCCGCGGUAAUACGUAGGGUGCGAGCGUUAAUCGGAAUUACUGGGCGUAAAGCGUGCGCAGGCGGUUGUGUAAGACAGGUGUGAAAUCCCCGGGCUUAACCUGGGAACUGCGCUUGUGACUGCACAGCUAGAGUAUGGCAGAGGGGGGUGGAAUUCCACGUGUAGCAGUGAAAUGCGUUGAUACCAUCAGGAACUCCGGUGGCGAAGGCGGCCCGCUGGACCCCAUCUGACGCUGAGGCGCGAAAGCCAGGGGAGCAAACGGGAUUAGAUACCCCCGUAGUCCCUGUCUCUUAUAC
This 301-nucleotide ribosomal RNA is filed under the name uncultured bacterium. RNAcentral's name for it is "partial 16S ribosomal RNA". It matches the Rfam family "Bacterial small subunit ribosomal RNA", at positions 509 to 807 of the family's 1533-position model. The record is from RNAcentral.